UGGAAGAGAGAGAAGGUUUCU
This 21-nucleotide small nuclear RNA is filed under the name Arabidopsis thaliana (thale cress). Its description in RNAcentral is "snRNA_04485". The record is from RNAcentral. Lineage: Eukaryota; Viridiplantae; Streptophyta; Magnoliopsida; Brassicales; Brassicaceae.